RNAcentral lists this ribosomal RNA (407 nucleotides) under uncultured bacterium. RNAcentral's name for it is "partial 16S ribosomal RNA". It matches the Rfam family "Bacterial small subunit ribosomal RNA", at positions 30 to 526 of the family's 1533-position model. The record is from RNAcentral.
AUUGAACGCUGGCGGCAGGCCUAACACAUGCAAGUCGAGCGGAGCGGCGGACGGGGGAGUAAUGCAUAGGAAUCUGCCUGGUAGUGGGGGAGAACGUCCGGAAACGGGCGCUAAUACCGCAUACUAUCAGCAGAGCAUAGGUCGGAUUAGCUAGUUGGGGGGGUAAAGGCCUACCAAGGCGACGAUCCGGAACUGGUCUGAGAGGAUGAUCAGUCACACUGGAACUGAGACACGGUCCAGACUCCUACGGGAGGCAGCAGUGGGGAAUAUUGGACAAUGGGCGAAAGCCUGAUCCAGCCAUGCCGCGUAUGUGAAGAAGGUCUUCGGAUUGUAAAGCACUUUAAGUUGGGAGGCGUUACCAACAGAAUAAGCACCGGCUAACUUCGUGCCAGCAGCCGCGGUAAUUC